CGAAAGCCUGACGGAGCAAUGCCGCGUGGGGGAAGAAGGUUCUUGGAUUGUAAACCCCUUUUCUCAGGGAAGAAACCUGACGGUACCUGAGGAAAAAGCCUCGGCUAACUCCGUGCCAGCAGCCGCGGUAAUACGGAGGAGGCAAGCGUUAUCCGGAAUUACUGGGCGUAAAGCGUCCGUAGGGGGCUCGUCAAGUCUGCUGUCAAAGCUCGGAGCUCAACUCCGACCCGGCAGUGGAAACUGGGGAGCUAGAGGGCGGCAGGGGCAGAAGGCAUUCCCGGUGUAGCGGUGAAAUGCGUAGAUAUUGGGAAGAACACCGGUGGCGAAAGCGCUUUGCUGGACCGAACCUGACGCUGAGGGACGAAAGCUAGGGGAGCG
This 378-nucleotide ribosomal RNA is filed under the name uncultured cyanobacterium. RNAcentral's name for it is "bacterial SSU rRNA". It matches the Rfam family "Bacterial small subunit ribosomal RNA", at positions 376 to 770 of the family's 1533-position model. The record is from RNAcentral. Lineage: Bacteria; Bacillati; Cyanobacteriota.